Molecule: long non-coding RNA, 260 nt
Organism: Arachis duranensis
Lineage: Eukaryota; Viridiplantae; Streptophyta; Magnoliopsida; Fabales; Fabaceae
Exons: 3
Source: RefSeq, a predicted model, not a curated record
CAAAGUUGGCAUUCGUCAAUUCAAAAUGAGCCUUGUGUACCUGCUGGUGCCACUCCUGAGCCCAAAAUGUUGCGUGAUUAUCUUCAGGCCCUGAAAUCCUCAGAAGAGUCUUUAAGAGAGCAGCUUGAAAAGGCAAAGAAAAAGGAAGCUGCGUUCAUUGUAACAUUUGCAAAACGAGAACAAGAGAUAGCAAAGUUGAAGGUAUCAUGCUCAAAAUAAGAUUUUUUCUAUAGCAUGGCUGUAUAUGUGCAAUUACAUUU